UGGAGUGUGGCUGAGUGGUAGAGCCCUUGCCUAGAAUGCCCAAAGCCCUGGAUUCGAGUUCCAGCACUGUAA
RNAcentral lists this transfer RNA (72 nucleotides) under Neotoma lepida (desert woodrat). It matches the Rfam family "tRNA". Rfam says of the family: Transfer RNA (tRNA) molecules are approximately 80 nucleotides in length. Their secondary structure includes four short double-helical elements and three loops (D, anti-codon, and T loops). Lineage: Eukaryota; Metazoa; Chordata; Mammalia; Rodentia; Cricetidae. The record is from Rfam by way of RNAcentral.